GAUGAACGCUGACAGAAUGCUUAACACAUGCAAGUCAACUUGAACUUCGGUUUGGGUGGCGGACGGGUGAGUGACGCGUACAGAACUUGCCUCACAGAUAGGGACAACAUUUGGAAACGAAUGCUAAUACCUGAUAUUAUGAUUUUAGGGCAUCCUAGGUGUAUGAAAGCGAUAGGCGCUGUGAGAGAGCUUUGCGUCCCAUUAGCUAGUUGGAGAGGUAACGGCUCACCAAGGCGAUGAUGGGUAGCCGGCCUGAGAGGGUGAUCGGCCACAAGGGGCCUGAGGCACGGCCCUUACGCCUACGGGAGGCAGCAGUGGAGAAUAUUGGACGAUGGACCAAGAGUCUGAUGAAGCAAUUCUGUGUGCACGAUGAAGUUUUUCGGAAUGUAAAGAGCUUUCAGUAGGGAAGAAAAAAAUGACGGUACCAACAGAAGAAGUGACGGCUAAAUACGUG
RNAcentral lists this ribosomal RNA (454 nucleotides) under uncultured bacterium. Its description in RNAcentral is "partial 16S ribosomal RNA". It matches the Rfam family "Bacterial small subunit ribosomal RNA", at positions 28 to 507 of the family's 1533-position model. The record is from RNAcentral.